UGUUUUACGACACACGAGAAAUAAAGUUACCACGGGAUUUUAAUUUCUCGGUCUGCAUUAACAAAUAGAACUUCCGCCAUUCGAGUGAGAUGGAGAAAGAAGAACGCUGUAAAGAAUAGGAGCAUAUUGAAUUUUUUUCCUGGCAGAAGAAUAUUUUUCACUUCUUGAAAAAAUGAAGACUUUUCAAUUUUACAACGACUUAAAAGAAUAUCUUUUACGGGAAGAAUUUAGCAACAAUUUAACGGUCAUAGAGCGAAGUGAAAUACGACGUGUGUCCGUGAAUUUUAUGAUUAAAGUCCAUCAUCCAUGCCCUGGCAGCUCUACAGUGUGUAUCAGGACAGGAGGCAGAAGACUUAUUUCUUGGUGGCCCAGAAUACAGUAUCAGUGAAGUGGAAGAAUUUAACCGAAAGAUAGGGCAGCAAUUAAAGAAGGAGGGAAUGCUGCGAUAUCUGUUGGAAUAGAAGAUGAUGCUACUGCCCAGUGCUUCCAGAAUCCUUCAUUUGAGUCUUGGGUCUGAAGCUACUGCGUCAUUUCCAAGUAUUCUGGGGUAAUGGAUCUUGUUUUGUUUACAUUUUGUUUUUCUUAAUAUUCCAAGCUCAUUUACUUGACCUUAGCUUUAAUAAAAUGGAUGGCUGUCUCCUUCACAAUUGAUUUUAAAGUACUAUACUAUUCAUUACAUAAAAAGCUCUGAACAAUUUAGUCCCUUCCUGUAUUUGGUACUGUCUCUCCCCCGACACUCCUCAGUGUAAUCUUUAAUCCACAACCACUAAUUUGCUUAUGAAAGAACUGGUGAAGAAGCUUGCACAUGUAUACCAAAAAUAUAGAAUGCAUGGCUAUAAAUGAAAAACCUUUCAAAAUACUUUUAAAACUCCAUUUUUAAACUUCACCUCUGCUUAAUUCCCACUUCUAUCAGUUUAUGAUUUACUUCUGGUUUAUGAAUGGAACUGCAUACACUUUGAAAGAUUUACACCAGAUAAUAACCAUUGUUUUUUUUGCUGUUUUCAUUUUUUUGUCCAGUGAUGCCCUUUGCCCUGCACCCUGGUCAAGUCUUGUGCAACUGACUGUGAUGCUGAAGAGAGAAGAUUUCUGAAGACCCUCUUGAAGUGGAGCUGCAAUUGGAUUAACACCACAACAGUAUGCUUGCUGUGAAUGUCCACAGGGGCCUGGGGAGGCUGUGACCUUGUGACCCUGAGACAUUGUUUUGUCAAUCAUCCUGACCAACUGGACCUUUAUGUGUUCUUCAACAGGGCCAUCUGACCAUCAGAUAUAUUUAAGAAGAAGGACCUUUCAAUUUUCCUCUUGUUUACUUUUUAAUUGUAUAUAUAUAUUUUCGUUUUCAUAAAGUUAUAUAUAUUUGUUUAGCAGUUUGGGCUUUAUUAGUAUUAAAAUAUGUUAGAGAAGUUAUUUGUGGAAUAAUUUUAAUGAUCAAAAUAGCAAAAAAUGUAACUUUAAAUUUUCUGUGCUCUGGGUAAAAUAUGUUAAAGCUAUGUGGUGAUUUUUUACAAUUUUUUUUUUUUGUACAUUUGAUAUGUUUU
Erpetoichthys calabaricus (reedfish) is the source of this 1535-nucleotide long non-coding RNA. RefSeq lists it as uncharacterized. The record is from RefSeq and is a predicted model, not a curated record. Lineage: Eukaryota; Metazoa; Chordata; Cladistia; Polypteriformes; Polypteridae. The transcript has 3 exons.